GGAUGGGCGAAUUGGAGGUGGAUGAGAACCACCGCUGGUUCGACAACGAGGCGCAGCCUCGUUGCGUGCGCCGCAGGCGCAGCCCGCAGGGCCAAGGCGCGCAGCGCCGCAGCCAUCCACCUCCCUCCACCA
This 132-nucleotide small RNA is filed under the name Thermomonas sp. RNAcentral's name for it is "RtT sRNA". It matches the Rfam family "RtT RNA". From Rfam's summary of the family: This family represents a bacterial cis-regulatory element known as RtT RNA. The exact function of RtT is unknown although it is thought that it may be involved in changing the cellular response in relation to amino acid starvation. The record is from RNAcentral. Lineage: Bacteria; Pseudomonadati; Pseudomonadota; Gammaproteobacteria; Lysobacterales; Lysobacteraceae.